UACGUAGGGUGCAAGCGUUAAUCGGAAUUACUGGGCGUAAAGCGUGCGCAGGCGGUUUUGUAAGUCUGUUGUGAAAUCCCACAGCUCAACUGUGGAACUGCUCGGUAUACUGGUUGUCUUGAGCCACUUAGGGGCAGUCGGAACAGACGGUGGAGCGGUGAAAUGCGUAGAUAUCGUCUGGAACGCCAAAGGUGAAAACAGGCUGCUGGGAGUGUGCUGACGCUGAGACACGAAAGCCAGGGGAGCGAACGGG
This 253-nucleotide ribosomal RNA is filed under the name uncultured bacterium. Its description in RNAcentral is "partial 16S ribosomal RNA". It matches the Rfam family "Bacterial small subunit ribosomal RNA", at positions 524 to 776 of the family's 1533-position model. The record is from RNAcentral.